GAUGAACGCUAGCGGCAGGCUUAAUACAUGCAAGUCGAGGGGCAACAGGGGUAGCAAUACCUGCUGGCGACCGGCAAACGGGUGCGCAACACGUACAGAACCUUCCUUUAAGCGGGGGAUAGCCCAUAGAAAUGUGGAUUAAUACCCCAUGGUAUUGUGGUAUGGCAUCAUACCAUAAUUAAAGAUUUAUCACUUAAAGAUGGCUGUGCGUCUGAUUAGGUAGUGGUAGGGGUAACGGCCCACCAAGCCAACGAUCAGUAACUGGUGUGAGAGCACGACCAGUCACACGGGCACUGAGACACGGGCCCGACUCCUACGGGAGGCAGCAGUAAGGAAUAUUGGUCAAUGGACGGAAGUCUGAACCAGCCAUGCCGCGUGAAGGAUGAAGGCCCUCUGGGUUGUAAACUUCUUUUAUCUGGGAAGAAAUGCCUGAUUUUGAUUGGGUUUGACGGUACCAGAGGAAUAAGCACCGGCUAACUCCGUGCCAGCCGCCG
RNAcentral lists this ribosomal RNA (494 nucleotides) under uncultured bacterium. RNAcentral describes it as "bacterial SSU rRNA". It matches the Rfam family "Bacterial small subunit ribosomal RNA", at positions 28 to 517 of the family's 1533-position model. The record is from RNAcentral.